AAAAAGGGCUAGAAUCAUAGGAUCAUGAGGUGCAAUGUAUUAGUUUAAUCAGUAAGAGGUAGUGGAAUGACGCCAUUGACAGGGAUCAGGAAGCUCUUGCUUCUCAUCAAGAUCUUUCUGAUCCUUACAACUGGGUUGAUGACCUAUUUCUUCACUUUGAAGCUAAAUAAUUGAAGAUAGGGGAAGGUUCAAUUGGAUGGGAGUUGG
This 207-nucleotide unclassified non-coding RNA is filed under the name Hevea brasiliensis (rubber tree). The record is from RNAcentral. Lineage: Eukaryota; Viridiplantae; Streptophyta; Magnoliopsida; Malpighiales; Euphorbiaceae.